Molecule: ribosomal RNA, 564 nt
Filed under: uncultured Glomeromycotina
Lineage: Eukaryota; Fungi; Glomeromycota
Description: SSU rRNA
Rfam family: Eukaryotic small subunit ribosomal RNA
Source: RNAcentral
UUGGAGGGCAAGUCUGGUGCCAGCAGCCGCGGUAAUUCCAGCUCCAAUAGCGUAUAUUAAAGUUGCUGCAGUUAAAAAGCUCGUAGUUGAAUUUCGGGAUCAAAUUGUCGGUCGUGCCUCGGUACGCACUGGUAUUAUUGGUUCCUACCUUCUGAAGAACCGCGAAGUCAUUAAUUUGGUGUCGUGGGGAAUCAGGACUGUUACUUUGAAAAAAUUAGAGUGUUUAAAGCAGGCUUACGCUUGAAUACAUUAGCAUGGAAUAAUGAAAUAGGACGUUUGAUUCUAUUUUGUUGGUUUCUAGGAUUGACGUAAUGAUUAAUAGGGAUAGUUGGGGGCAUUAGUAUUCAAUUGUCAGAGGUGAAAUUCUUGGAUUUAUUGAAGACUAACUACUGCGAAAGCAUUUGCCAAGGAUGUUUUCAUUAAUCAAGAACGAAAGUUAGGGGAUCGAAGACGAUCAGAUACCGUCGUAGUCUUAACCAUAAACUAUGCCGACUAGGGAUCGGAUGAUGUUAAUUUUUUAAUGACUCAUUCGGCGCCUUACGGGAAACCAAAGUGUUUGGGUUC